UACGUAGGGAGCAAGCGUUGUCCGGAUUUAUUGGGCGUAAAGAGCUCGUAGGCGGCUUAGCAAGUCGGGUGUGAAACCUCCAGGCUCAACCUGGAGACGCCACUCGAUACUGCUAUGGCUUGAGUUCGGUAGGGGACCUGGAAUUCCUGGUGUAGCGGUGGAAAUGCGCAGAUAUCAGGAGGAACACCGACGGCGAAGGCAGCUUACUGGGCCGAUACUGACGCUGAGGAGCGAAAGCGUGGGGAGCGAACAGG
RNAcentral lists this ribosomal RNA (254 nucleotides) under uncultured bacterium. RNAcentral's name for it is "partial 16S ribosomal RNA". It matches the Rfam family "Bacterial small subunit ribosomal RNA", at positions 524 to 776 of the family's 1533-position model. The record is from RNAcentral.